GGUAGUAAUUAAACCAACAUGUGCUGGCGGUCUUUAUAUAUUAGAGAAACUCGCUUUAUAAUCGUAAACACCCGAUAAGUUUCACUUUUUAAUUAGUUUAUAUACCGCCGUUUCAGGGUUGAUCAAUUUUUAAAGCCCUUAAUAUACUAUCAUAAAAAAUCAGGUCAAGGUGUAACCCAUAAAAAAGAAAAAGUAAGUUACAUUAAAAACAAUUUAAGGAUCUUAUAUAAAAAUCAUAAAUAAAAAAGAAUUUAUACGUAAGUAUUAGUUAAAACCUAAUUCCGAACCAAAUAUUAGAGAUGC
RNAcentral lists this ribosomal RNA (303 nucleotides) under Pholcus sp. 'gracillimus' sensu Huber (2011). RNAcentral describes it as "partial 12S ribosomal RNA". The record is from RNAcentral. Lineage: Eukaryota; Metazoa; Arthropoda; Arachnida; Araneae; Pholcidae.